UCUUGUCUGAAAUGACAAAAUAUAAUAAGUAAGUGGCAAAAGUACACACAGUUUCAGAUCAAGUUACCCAAAACCAGUACCAAUAAACGGAACUUGCUAGGGCCUCGCCGGGCGCCGAGUCGUCUACGAUAAUAAACAACGCAUGAGUCCUGUUUAUACUGGUUUUGGGAAGCUUGAUCUGUGGCCGUGUGUACAAAUCUGAUAUUAGUUGGAAAUUUAACUGCAUUCGAUUAAAGGCCCUCCUUAAUUCACACAUGUUGUCAACUUUACACUGUCUCAUGAAGCAUUAGAUAAAUCAAGCAAUAUAUAUAUACCUAUACAGAGUGGAAAAAUAAGGCCGCAGUUGAAGGAAAAGUACCCUUAGGCGCAACGCAAACGGCGGGCCGGCGCAGGCCGGUCAAUUUCGCCGCGAACGAUAGCGCAAAGUGAAUCUUAUACUAGACGCAGACGGCGCGGCCGGGGCGGCGCGGCGCAGACAUCGACGAAAUAAUUCAUUUUUUACAAAAAUAAUUAGAACUUCAUUUAAGGAUUUUUGGAAAAACACCGGAUUGAAUCGGGCAAUUUGUUUAUUUGUUACAGUAAAAUUUGCCAUCAUCAAAAUUAAGGUGAAAACUUCCGGAAGUCACUAGCGCUAUAUUUGGCAACUGGUAAUACAUUCACUGAUCUACACUAUUCCUAUGUGAUUGGAAUUGCAACAAUUAGCGAAAUAGUAAGACA
Long non-coding RNA from Maniola jurtina (meadow brown), 717 nucleotides. RefSeq lists it as uncharacterized. The record is from RefSeq and is a predicted model, not a curated record. Lineage: Eukaryota; Metazoa; Arthropoda; Insecta; Lepidoptera; Nymphalidae. The transcript is spliced from 2 exons.